GACGAACGCUGGCGGCGUGCUUAACACAUGCAAGUCGAACGAAGAGCGAUGGAAGCUUGCUUCUAUCAAUCUUAGUGGCGAACGGGUGAGUAACGCGUAAUCAACCUGCCCUUCAGAGGGGGACAACAGUUGGAAACGACUGCUAAUACCGCAUACGAUCUAACCUCGGCAUCGAGGAUAGAUGAAAGGUGGCCUCUACAUGUAAGCUAUCACUGAAGGAGGGGAUUGCGUCUGAUUAGCUAGUUGGAGGGGUAACGGCCCACCAAGGCGAUGAUCAGUAGCCGGUCGGAGAGGAGGAACGGCCACAUUGGGACUGAGACACGGCCCAGACUCCUACGGGAGGCAGCAGUGGGGAAUCUUCCGCAAUGGACGAAAGUCUGACGGAGCAACGCCGCGUGAGUGAUGACGGCCUUCGGGUUGUAAAGCUCUGUUAAUCGGGACGAAAGGCCUUCUUGCGAAUAGUUAGAAGGAUUGACGGUACCGGAAUAGAAAGCCACGGCUAACUACGUG
RNAcentral lists this ribosomal RNA (510 nucleotides) under uncultured bacterium. RNAcentral's name for it is "partial 16S ribosomal RNA". It matches the Rfam family "Bacterial small subunit ribosomal RNA", at positions 28 to 507 of the family's 1533-position model. The record is from RNAcentral.